This 468-nucleotide ribosomal RNA is filed under the name uncultured bacterium. Its description in RNAcentral is "partial 16S ribosomal RNA". It matches the Rfam family "Bacterial small subunit ribosomal RNA", at positions 28 to 507 of the family's 1533-position model. The record is from RNAcentral.
GACGAACGCUGGCGGCGUGCUUAACACAUGCAAGUCGAACGAUGAAGCCCAGCUUGCUGGGUGGAUUAGUGGCGAACGGGUGAGUAAUACGUGAGUAACCUGCCCUUGACUCUGGGAUAAGCCCGGGAAACUGGGUCUAAUACUGGAUGCUACAUGUCACCGCAUGGUGGUGUGUGGAAAGGGUUUACUGGUCUUGGAUGGGCUCACGGCCUAUCAGCUUGUUGGUGAGGUAAUGGCUCACCAAGGCGACGACGGGUAGCCGGCCUGAGAGGGUGACCGGCCACACUGGGACUGAGACACGGCCCAGACUCCUACGGGAGGCAGCAGUGGGGAAUAUUGCACAAUGGGCGAAAGCCUGAUGCAGCGACGCCGCGUGAGGGAUGACGGCCUUCGGGUUGUAAACCUCUUUCAGCAGGGAAGAAGCCACAAGUGACGGUACCUGCAGAAGAAGCGCCGGCUAACUACGUG